This 609-nucleotide long non-coding RNA is filed under the name Homo sapiens (human). Its description in RNAcentral is "non-protein coding lnc-TMTC3-5:14". Lineage: Eukaryota; Metazoa; Chordata; Mammalia; Primates; Hominidae. The record is from RNAcentral.
AGCUCUCUGACUUUCUGCAUUUGGUGUCAAAAUGCAAGUCCCUGUGCUUUGAUUGAUUGAAAUGCAAACCCUAGCUUGGGUGCUGGAUUAGCUGUAUAUCUGAUUUAAAUUCGCACUAAUCCUCUCCUGGGAUUUCUUCUUUUCCUGGGCACUAAUUUGGUAAGGAUGACAAGUGGGCUUAAUUAUUUCCUGUCUAAGGAGACUCUAGGAUAUGUACCUGUAUUAAGUAAAAGAGAAUGGCUUUGUAUUUAACCUCUUUAAAGGAGCAAAUGAAUGCGUAAUGUCAACAUUUUUGACACCAAAAUUUCAUCUGAGGAAUAGAAUAGAAUAUAACACAUUUUCAUGGCUUCACGUAGUGAUGGCAUAAAUUAAGCUGACUAGUAACCUAAGUCUAAAAUGAAGGUAAUUAUGAAAAUGGCCUGUGCUCUCAGUUACUCAGGAGGCAUAGGUGGGAGGACUGCCUGAGCCCAGGAAGUCAAGGCUGCAGUGAGCUGGGAAGGCACCAGCACACUCUAGCCUGGGCAACAGCGUGAGACCCUGUUUCAAAAAUAUAUAUAUUAUAAUUUAUACAUGAUAUAAUAAUAUAUAUAAUAUAUAAAAAUAUAUAAU